UCAGGAUGAACGCUGGCGGCGUGCUUAACACAUGCAAGUCGAACGAAGCAAUUUUCUACGAUCCUUUCGGGGUGACGGAUUAUUGACUGAGUGGCGGACGGGUGAGUAACGCGUGGGUAACCUACCUUGUACAGGGGGACAACAGUUGGAAACGACUGCUAAUACCGCAUAAGCGCACAGCAUCGCAUGAUGCAGUGUGAAAAGUUUUUUCGGUACAAGAUGGACCCGCGUCUGAUUAGCUAGUUGGUGAGGUAACGGCCCACCAAGGCGACGAUCAGUAGCCGACCUGAGAGGGUGACCGGCCACAUUGGGACUGAGACACGGCCCAAACUCCUACGGGAGGCAGCAGUGGGGAAUAUUGCACAAUGGGCGAAAGCCUGAUGCAGCGACGCCGCGUGAGCGAAGAAGUAUUUCGGUAUGUAAAGCUCUAUCAGCAGGGAAGAUAAUGACGGUACCUGACUAAGAAGCACCGGCUAAAUACGUGCCAGCAGCCGCGGUAAUACGUAUGGUGCAAGCGUUAUCCGGAUUUACUGGGUGUAAAGGGAGCGUAGGCGGUUUUACAAGUCUGAUGUGAAAGCCCGGGGCUCAACUCCGGUAUUGCAUUGGAAACUGUAGAACUAGAGUGUCGGAGGGGUAAGUGGAAUUCCUAGUGUAGCGGUGAAAUGCGUAGAUAUUAGGAGGAACACCAGUGGCGAAGGCGGC
RNAcentral lists this ribosomal RNA (702 nucleotides) under Pseudobutyrivibrio sp. R29. RNAcentral describes it as "bacterial SSU rRNA". It matches the Rfam family "Bacterial small subunit ribosomal RNA", at positions 24 to 725 of the family's 1533-position model. Lineage: Bacteria; Bacillati; Bacillota; Clostridia; Lachnospirales; Lachnospiraceae. The record is from RNAcentral.